ACGGGUGAGUAACACGUAUCCAACCUGCCGUCUACUCUUGGCCAGCCUUCUGAAAGGAAGAUUAAUCCAGGAUGGCAUCAUGAGUUCACAUGUCCGCAUGAUUAAAGGUAUUUUCCGGUAGACGAUGGGGAUGCGUUCCAUUAGAUAGUAGGCGGGGUAACGGCCCACCUAGCUACGAUGGAUAGGGGUUCUGAGAGGAAGGUCCCCCACAUUGGAACUGAGACACGGUCCAA
Molecule: ribosomal RNA, 233 nt
Filed under: uncultured bacterium
Lineage: Bacteria
Description: partial 16S ribosomal RNA
Rfam family: Bacterial small subunit ribosomal RNA
Source: RNAcentral